AUGUUAACGAUGUCAACGAUGUAAACAAUAUAUAAGAGUUCAAACAAUGUCAACGAUGUUCACACGACAUCGUGUUAACCUUGUAAACACAACGAUGUAAACAAUAUAUAAAAGUUCAAACAAUGUCAACAAUGUUGACACGACAUCGUGUUUACAUUGUAUACAUCGCAAUGUUAACGAUGUCAACGAUGAAAACAAUAUAUAAGGGAUCAAACAAUGUAAACGAUGUUGACACGACAUCGUGUUAACAUUGUAAACAUAAUGAUGUUAACGAUGUCAACGAUGUAAACAAUACAUAAAAGUUCAAACAAUGUCAACAAUGUUGACACGACAUCGUGUUUACAUUGUAUACAUCGCAAUGUCAACGAUGUAAACAAUAUAUAAGGGAUCAAACAAUGUAAACGAUGUUGACACGACAU
Molecule: long non-coding RNA, 419 nt
Filed under: Mytilus galloprovincialis (Mediterranean mussel)
Lineage: Eukaryota; Metazoa; Mollusca; Bivalvia; Mytilida; Mytilidae
Source: RNAcentral